CUUGGUCAUUUAGAGGAAGUAAAAGUCGUAACAAGGUUUCCGUAGGUGAACCUGCGGAAGGAUCAUUAUUGAAAUAAACCUGAUGAGUUGCUGCUGGUUCUCCAGGGAGCAUGUGCACACUUGUCAUCUUUAUAUCUCCACCUGUGAACCUUUUGUAGACCUGGAUAUCUCUCUCUGAAUGCCUGGAAAAUUCAGGAUUGAGGAUUGAUUAUUUUUUUUGUCUUUCCUUGUGUUUUCAGGUCUAUGUUUUUCAUAUACCCCCAUGUAUGUUUAUAGAAUGUAAUGAACGGGCCUUUUGUGCCUAUAAACUUAUACAACUUUCAGCAACGGAUCUCUUGGCUCUCGCAUCGAUGAAGAACGCAGCGAAAUGCGAUAAGUAAUGUGAAUUGCAGAAUUCAGUGAAUCAUCGAAUCUUUGAACGCACCUUGCGCUCCUUGGUAUUCCGAGGAGCAUGCCUGUUUGAGUGUCAUUAAUAUAUCAACCCUCUUCAGGCUUUUGCAUGUUGAGUGUUGGAUGUGGGGGGAUACUUUUUUUUGCUGGACUCUCUUUUGAGGUCAGCUCCCCUAAAAUACAUUAGCAAAACAAUUUGUUUACUGCUCAUUGGUGUGAUAACUAUCUACGCUGUUGAAAGUAAAGCACAGUUUAGCUUCUAACAGUCCAUUGACUUGGACAACCUUUUAUCAAUGUGACCUCAAAUCAGGUAGGAUUACCCGCUGAACUUAAGCAUAUCAAUAAGCGGAGGAAAAGAAACUAACAAGGAUUCCCCUAGUAACUGCGAGUGAAGCGGGAAAAGCUCAAAUUUAAAAUCUGGCAGUCUUUGGCUGUCCGAGUUGUAAUCUAGAGAAGUGCUAUCCGCGCUGGACCGUGUACAAGUCUCCUGGAAUGGAGCGUCAUAGAGGGUGAGAAUCCCGUCUUUGACACGGACUGCCAGGGCUUUGUGAUGCGCUCUCAAAGAGUCGAGUUGUUUGGGAAUGCAGCUCAAAAUGGGUGGUAAAUUCCAUCUAAAGCUAAAUAUUGGCGAGAGACCGAUAGCGAACAAGUACCGUGAGGGAAAGAUGAAAAGAACUUUGGAAAGAGAGUUAAACAGUACGUGAAAUUGCUGAAAGGGAAACGCUUGAAGUCAGUCGCGUCGUCCAGGGAUCAACCUCGCUGUUGCUUGGUGCACUUUCUGGUUGACGGGUCAGCAUCAAUUUUGACCAUUGGAAAAAGAUUAGGGGAAUGUGGCAUCUUAGGAUGUGUUAUAGCCCUUGGUUGCAUGCAAUGGUUGGGAUUGAGGAACUCAGCACGCCGCAAGGCCGGGUUUUCAACCACGUACGUGCUUAGGAUGCUGGCAUAAUGGCUUUAAUCGACCCGUCUUGAAACACGGACC
Molecule: ribosomal RNA, 1369 nt
Filed under: uncultured fungus
Lineage: Eukaryota; Fungi
Description: eukaryotic LSU rRNA
Rfam family: Eukaryotic large subunit ribosomal RNA (bases 687-1369)
Source: RNAcentral